UACAGAGGUGGCAAGCGUUGUUCGGAUUUAUUGGGCGUAAAGGGUCCGUAGGCGGUUUGAAAAGUCAGAUGUGAAAUCCCGCAGCUUAACUGCGGAACUGCAUUUGAAACUUUCAGACUAGAGUAUGAGAGGGGUAAUGGGAAUUCCCGGUGUAAGGGUGAAAUCUGCAGAGAUCGGGAGGAACACCAGUCGCGAAGGCGCAUUACUGGCUCAUUACUGACGCUCAGGGACGAAAGCUAGGGGAGCAAACGGG
Molecule: ribosomal RNA, 253 nt
Filed under: uncultured bacterium
Lineage: Bacteria
Description: partial 16S ribosomal RNA
Rfam family: Bacterial small subunit ribosomal RNA
Source: RNAcentral